Molecule: long non-coding RNA, 1990 nt
Filed under: Capra hircus (goat)
Lineage: Eukaryota; Metazoa; Chordata; Mammalia; Artiodactyla; Bovidae
Description: lncRNA (ENSCHIG00010023283.1)
Source: RNAcentral
AAGCAAUCAAAACAAAUGNNNNGAGAUAGGGUAUGGUACCCCCAGAACCGGGGCUCCUGGCUGGGACUCUUCCAUUUUAGUCUACCAAACAUGUGCAGUUUCCACCACAAAAUCCACUUGAUCUGACCAAGGUGGAAAUGGUUAACCAAAGGAGACACUGCAGGCUUUCAUUCUUGAUGCUUUCCCUAACCCUGAACAGGAGGACAGAGAAGGUGAGAAAUGUUUGGCAACUCGGAAUUCAGAACAGGAAUUUACUAGAGGUACUGGCGGCCAAUCCCGUUGGCCGAAAAGCACACAGAAAAGAUGUUUCACAAAGCUACUCCCACUGCUUCCGAACGUCCACGUUUCCCCGUAAUAAACACAUUACAUCAAGUAAAGCCCAGAGCCAACUACAGAUCUGUUCUCACUGUGCUGAGUGGUCUCAGCUUCUCUCCAGCAACCGCAACUGUGUCUCUGAGCAGGAGGGACUCCCUGAGACACCGUGUAACUCCUUAGGACCCAACAGCCUUUGGGCCCUGUCUCUAUUUGCACCCUGAUUCCCUGAGGGAGCCCACCCGUAUCGCUUCCACAAAAGCACACGCUCCACCUCCCCAUCACUGAGCACCCUGCUCCUUGAACAUCCCUGGGCCGACAGGGGGAUGGACGGUCCCCUCCAUGGGCCUGUGCUGCCUGGACUGGAGCUGUGACCGAGGAAGGGGGCAGGGGCGGGUGACAGGCGCUCUCCUUGUGGGCCAUCCUGCCCUUCUCCUGGUUUUCCGACCCAUGGGGGACAGUUUAUUCACGUCCCUGUGCUCUCAUCCGCUGAGCGCCUCUGUGUUCUCAAGGAACCCUACUCAAAACGAAAGGGCACAUUGUGACGCCACCAAUUUAAACGCUAGAAAUUAUAGGAAAGCAGACGGCCGACCCAUGAGGCUCAGGUAAUGUAAGAAGAGACUUAACUCCAAAAGGGAAACAAGGAGAGAGAGGCUGCUGAGUGCAGGAGCACGGCAGGGCUCGCAGACUUCCACAGAGAGCACUGACAAGGCCUCCUUCCUGGAGUUAGUCUCCCCUUUCUCCACGAGCUCCUGGAUGUCUCCAGGGCUACUCUGGAUUUCAGGCCAAUGUGUGUGUGUAGAUACGUGGGGGUUAAGGGAAUAAUAGUGGAAUUGCUAUUUGAGGCCCCUCCCCCAAAAGGCUGGCAGUGCUCCAUUUUAAUUUGGUUCAGCUCCCCUUUCACCUCAACAGACACCAUCCAGCUUCUGACUGUCACAUCACAAACAGACCACAAGAGCGAGCACAGAACUGGAAAGCCCAGUGCAGGAGAUGGUCUUGUGGCUGGAGAAGGCUCCGUGGGUCUCGCCAGCUGCCAUCGUGUGGGGCUUUUCAAAUCCAGCCCUGGACACGUGUUCCCCGGCUUCACUUCCUUCAUGCCCUUGCCUUUUCAUGCAGCUUGUCUGCCAAGAAGGUGACUCAAACUGUCCCUUUAGGCACAGAGGAACCACACGACUCCGCGACUCCACUCUGAGGAACGUGCAAAAACCACACAACUGCACAAAAACUUGUACGUGGAUGUUCACUGUAGCACUGUUCACAGGGGCCGGAAAGCAGAAACAGCUCGAAAUGUCUACCAACGGACGAAUGGCCAGUGAAACGUCGUCCAUCCACAAUGGAGUCUCACUCGACUAUGAAAAGACGCAACGUGCUGGUUCAUGACACAACACAGGUGCCCCUUGAAAACAUCACGCAGCUAAAGGAAGCCAUCAUGAGAGACCACUGUUAUAAGAUCUCAUUUCCACGAAAUGUCCAGAGCAGGCAAAUUUAGAGCCGGAAAGUGGAUUAGUGGUCGCCUACUUCUGGAAGCGAUGGUUUUUCCAGUACUCACAUAUGGAUGUGAGAGUUGGACUACAAAGAAGGCUGAGCACCAAAGAUUUAUUGCUUUCAAACUGUGGUGCUGGAGAAGGCUUUAGAGUCCCUUGGACAGCAAGGAGAUCAAACCAGUCAAUCCUAAAAG